CGGACGGGUGAAUAAUGUAUGGGGAUCUGCCUGAUGGCGGGGGAUAACUACUGGAAACGGUAGCUAAUACCGCAUAAUGUCUACGGACCAAAGCGGGGGACCUCCGGGCCUCGCGCCAUCAGAUGAACCCAUAUGGGAUUAGCUAGUAGGUAAGGUAACGGCUUACCUAGGCGACGAUCCCUAGCUGGUCUGAGAGGAUGAUCAGCCACACUGGGACUGAGACACGGCCCAG
RNAcentral lists this ribosomal RNA (232 nucleotides) under uncultured bacterium. RNAcentral's name for it is "partial 16S ribosomal RNA". It matches the Rfam family "Bacterial small subunit ribosomal RNA", at positions 99 to 334 of the family's 1533-position model. The record is from RNAcentral.